UACGUAGGGUGCAAGCGUUGUCCGGAAUUAUUGGGCGUAAAGAGCUCGUAGGCGGUCCGUCACGUCGGCUGUGAAAACCCGGGGCUCAACCCCGGGCCUGCAGUCGAUACGGGCGGACUAGAGUUCGGCAGGGGAGACUGGAAUUCCUGGUGUAGCGGUGAAAUGCGCAGAUAUCAGGAGGAACACCGGUGGCGAAGGCGGGUCUCUGGGCCGAUACUGACGCUGAGGAGCGAAAGCGUGGGGAGCGAACGGG
This 253-nucleotide ribosomal RNA is filed under the name uncultured bacterium. RNAcentral's name for it is "partial 16S ribosomal RNA". It matches the Rfam family "Bacterial small subunit ribosomal RNA", at positions 524 to 776 of the family's 1533-position model. The record is from RNAcentral.